AUCAUUCUCACUAGUAGUGUGGAAGCGUCUCAUCUGAUCUUGGAAGCUAAGCAGGGUCAGGCCUGGUUAGUACAUGGAUGAAACAUUACCUUCUUAAGAGGAAGGUGCACAUGAAAAGGACCCAGGGGAGAGUAGUU
RNAcentral lists this ribosomal RNA (137 nucleotides) under Carlito syrichta (Philippine tarsier). The record is from RNAcentral. Lineage: Eukaryota; Metazoa; Chordata; Mammalia; Primates; Tarsiidae.